Molecule: long non-coding RNA, 949 nt
Organism: Sinocyclocheilus anshuiensis
Lineage: Eukaryota; Metazoa; Chordata; Actinopteri; Cypriniformes; Cyprinidae
Exons: 4
Source: RefSeq, a predicted model, not a curated record
UACACCUGGUUUUGUGAAAACGUGAACUUUGGGCAGUUAGUUGUAGUUACAGUUAGGUCAGUUUGUCAGUCCUAAUGCUGAUGUAGGGUCAGGAUCGUUUUUGUAAGGGUUACGGUAACGGUGCAUUUUCAGCUACUGACACCUUAACAUUCGGAAAGCCGAUAACCCUCAAGGUCGUACCAAAAGAUUCACUGGCAACUCCUCCAUUUCUGACCAUCUUGUCCCCUUUGAAGGGUGAUGGACAGGAUAUUUGUCUGGCCGCCGGGUUCUUUCCUGAAGAUAAGACUAUGACUUUGACUGUGGGAGUUAAUAAACCUGUGAGUCUUACCACCAGCGAAGCACCCUUGUUUAAAUCGACCAAAACCUAUUAUUAUGCUGGAUUCAAUGGUGAAAAAAUGCAAAAAUGCGAAAUGGAUGGACAAACAGCAAACAAAACUCUUGGCACUCCUGACACUCCUGACACGACAGAAAAACCCCAAAAACUGACUCCACAGUCUUGUCAAACAAGUCUUAGUACUGAUGCCUCAGAGUUCAUAAACACUGGUGAUCCAAAAAUGAACUCCAUGAAUCUUCUUGUGACAGGUCUGAGAAUUCUGCUUGCUAAAUGUGUCGCAGUUAAUGCAUUGAUGACUGUGAAGGCAUUCAUAUUUUAAAAGUUCAAUUCAGCCAAAUCAUCUGAAUAAUCAAAAAUUGUAACUAUAACUUGAUCAAAUAUCCAUGGCAAACAAACAAAUGCGAUUAUAGUCAGCCACAGGGUCACUAUUUAUAUAUUCUCUCUAAUAAUGUUACAUGGAAUGAAAAAUACAAAUUGUUAGUAAUGUAUUUCAAAUAUACAGAAUAUCGAUAAAACUUUUAUUGCAAACUUUUAGAAACAUUUCUGAAUUCAGUGGUAUAAUGUGCAAAUUGCUUUGCUAUGGUGUAUGUAUUUUCAGCUUUAGUUGCAGACAAG